This is a long non-coding RNA of Eriocheir sinensis (Chinese mitten crab), 1027 nucleotides long. RefSeq lists it as uncharacterized. Lineage: Eukaryota; Metazoa; Arthropoda; Malacostraca; Decapoda; Varunidae. The record is from RefSeq and is a predicted model, not a curated record. The transcript has 3 exons.
GGGGGGGGGGGGUGAGAAGGAGGCGAGGAAAGGGGGGUCAAAGUUAUAGGGGUGAAGGGUGGAUGGGACGAGAGGCAAUGAUGGAAAGGAAUAGAGAAAUAGAAAAGACCAAAAGAUGAGAAUGAAGGAAUGAAGAAAGGAAGAAAAAGUUAUAGGGAUGAAGGGUGGAUGGGACGAGAGGCAAUGAUGGAAAGGAAUAAAGAAAUAGAAAAGACCAAAAGAUGAGAAAGAAGGAAUGAAGAAAGGAAGAAUAAAAGGAAGAAGGAAAAGAAAUGUCGCUAUUGAUGAUUAUAUAUGCAAGGUGGUUAAUGCAGGAAAGGAAUAAAGAAAGAGAAAAGUGAACAAUAAAAUGAAAAAGAAGAACUGAAGAAAGAAAGAAAGAAUAAAAGGCAGGAAAAAAAAGAAAAAUAGUGCUACCAAUAAUCAUAUAUGCAAGAAAGGAAUAAAGAAAAAGUAAACCAGAAGAAAUUAAGAAAAAACAAGAAAGAAAAUUAUGCUACUGAUGAUUAUAUGUUCAAAGUGGCUCAAGUCGGCAGUUUCACCACCACCGACCCGAAAACGAAGAGAAGGUGAGGGUUACGGGACGAGGCAAAGCGGCGCGGGUAGGUCACUCUUACCCAACACUGCCAGAUUGUCUUACUCAGCCUCAUAUUUACCGACUUCCGACCCAAAAACUGUCUCGUGGACCCCAAUAAGGAGAUUCACUUGUAAUUAUCGCUAAAAUAGUUUAUUCCUAAUGUUUCUUGGCAAUAGUUAGGCGUCAGAAACCGGUAAAUACUAUGCUCUGAGUACGAUAAUCUGGGAACGGUGCUCUUAGGGCCGUAUUUUAAGACACCAUCGCUUCUCACAUCAACUAUUUCUAAAGACCAAAGAGAGGAUCAAUCGGGUUUUCAUGAGUGUUUUUUAAGGUUCAUGGCACAGAAGAAGGGUUAAAGUACCACCAGGGUCAUAAAACUACCCCUGGAAAGGCCUACAGCUCCUACGAAAGCCAUGUCAAAUAUGUGAACUUGGGCGACGAAAUGUUUUA